Molecule: ribosomal RNA, 406 nt
Filed under: uncultured bacterium
Lineage: Bacteria
Description: partial 16S ribosomal RNA
Rfam family: Bacterial small subunit ribosomal RNA
Source: RNAcentral
AUUGAACGCUGGCGGCAGGCCUAACACAUGCAAGUCGAACGAGUGGCGGACGGGUGAGUAAUGUCUGGGAAACUGCCCGAUGGAGGGGGAUAACUACUGGAAACGGUAGCUAAUACCGCAUACCAUCGGAUGUGCCCAGAUGGGAUUAGCGUGUAGGUGAGGUAACGGCUCACCUAGGCGACGCUCCCUAGCUGGGAUGAGAGGAUGACCAGCCACACGGGAACUGAGACACGGUCCCGGAUCCUAAGGGAGGCAGCAGUGGGGAAUAUGGCACAAUGGGCGCAAGCCUGAUGCAGCGAUGCCGCGUGUAUGAAGAAGGCCUUCGGGUUGUAAAGUACUUUCAGCGGGGAGGCGUUACCCGAAGAAGAAGCACCGGCUAACUCCGUGGCAGCAGCCGCGGUAAUAC